UUAUUAAGCUUUCCUAAAAAAUCGACGUUUCAGUCCUAUUCAAGGACUUUCAUCAGGAUUAUGUAAACCGUUUACAUAAUCCUGAUGAAAGUCCUUGAAUAGGACUGAAACGUCGAUUUUUUUUAGGAAAGCUUAAUA
Molecule: non-coding RNA, 138 nt
Organism: Pelobates cultripes (western spadefoot toad)
Lineage: Eukaryota; Metazoa; Chordata; Amphibia; Anura; Pelobatidae
Source: the annotation of a GenBank genome assembly